UGCCCAGAGGGCCUUGGCCCAGUGAAGCAAUGCCCUCAAUGCCCUACGCACACCUCCUGCGAGGCUCCAGGCCGCUAGCCAGAGUGGCGCCCCCUGCCCCGACGCACACGUGGACCAAAAAGGCAUUCAACACUGAGAAUCAGAGCUUUCCAAUCAGUGAUUCACUCAAGGCCUCCCUGUGUGAUCUGAAGCUGAUGGAGUGAGGGCAACAGUUUGGAUCUUGUAAUCCCAGCAUCUUCAUGGCCAUUACGUCACAUUCUACUGCUCCAUCACGUGGGGAAAGAACAUCAUACUGAGAGCCUGGAAACUGGAAAAGUGUAGCUGACACUUCUUCAUCUUAGCUAGAUGCCAUGCGUUACACUGAAGGCUUCACAGAAAAGAUACUCGGUCCACACCAGAGGGUUCUCAUUCUGGAGAGGUAGGAGAAUGAACUGUGGGAUCGUUUUAAGUGCACUCGGCUGGGUACCACUGGAGCUGUGGUGGGUCUGACCCCAGUGUGUGGAGCUAAGUGAUUUCUGAUCUGCACAAGGAGUGCCCUGGAGCGGCACCGAAUGUGGGUGAGAGGGAUGGGAGACGGGCGGUGAGCAGUGAGGCCGCUUCCCUGAUGGUUGAAGUGCUCACGACAGAUGAAUGGGCACCAUGGGCUCUGGAGCAUUGCAGUUGUGUAUUUAUCUGUUACCUAGGACUCAGUUCACUCGUCUCCCACCCACUGGAGCACCCACUGGUUGGCGUGCAGUGGACACCAGAAAGACACUGCACAGGACUGCAACAUCGUCCUGGCUCUGCCACCCCCGCUGUGCUAUCGUUCCAGGCAAUGGUCUAACCUCUCUGUUCUUAGUUUCGGCACAGGGUCUCAGAGCUGGAGGUACAGUACAGGGAGGAGGACAGGCGGUUGUGUAAUUCUCUCAGGAAGAAAGCCAAAACGAAAAAGAAGAAUGCAAGCAGCGUCGGCACACAGGCGAUUUUACAGAAAAGCGAUGAAUGUUCCACUGUGUCCUGAAAUGGUCAUGGAGCACCGCGCUGGAGGAACUGCUGCCUUUUGCAGUUUCGCGAGAGGCAUGAUCUAGGUUUCAUAAACGAUCAGCCGGUCUGCUCAGCUCAAUUCAGCUGUGUUCAAGGAACAGGAACUGAGCAGCUGUUGAGGCUGCAUGCUCACAUCCAGAGACAGUUCAUGCUCUGCAGCAGUUUGGAGUCUGCAGGUAGCUGCAGACCCGCAAAGAGAUCACCUUGAAAUUAUGUGCAGAAGAAAGCUGGGGGGUGGCCUGAGCCAGCCUGGGGCAGGGUGUGUGUGUGUGUGUGUGUGUGUGUGUGUGUGUGUGUGUGUGUGUGUGUGUGUGUGUGUGUGUGUGUGUGUGUGUGUAAUCAAGGAGGGCUUCCUGGAGGAGGCAAUGGAUGCAUCUUAGAAAAGAGCACGUACGGAGUAAUGGGGUAAAGUGAGGAAGGCAACAGCACAAGCAAAAGCACAGAGGCACAGGACAGCACGCAUGGGGACCAGCAGGCAGGGGUGUUUUAAUUCAGGCAAAAUGUGCCUCUUUUCGGGAGAUGACUGCUGCCAAGCUUCUCUUCAAGGGUUAAGACAGCACAUCUGAGCCUCUUCCACUAGAAUCUCACGGGGCCUGGAAUCGAGUACAACCCCCAACGUUACAAUUCUGUUUUGGCACAACUGGCUUAGAGAUGCCAAAUAUACACUCAGCGGAAUCUGAAUCUGAAAAAUCAAAGCCCUUUAAGGAAAGGAUUAAUUAUUAAGAGCAUAUCUAUUCAAGCUUAGCACUUAGGAACCAGACACAGAUUGCUUCUGAAUAGAGCAGUGAAGAGAUUCUGGACGUAAUAUUUAGAUUCUUGUGCCAUGACAUCUUGCAAAGUGUUAGCUGACCCAGGUAAUAAAAAGAGAAGUUCAUAUACCCCCUGCUAGCUAUUAAAAUUCGUCCACUACCUUCUCCUGAGAUCACCCAAAGAUUAGCCAAAUAUUAGGGAACAUAUCCUGCGGCUGCAAAGUUUUAUGUACUGUGUCUUCCUGCUGGUAAAAUGACGCUUAGUUUGUAAAAGUAGCAAGGGGCAGAAAUGCAGAAAAAGAAUCUGUUGUUAGUGUAAAUAUACUCCCCUCUACUGUAUUAUGCUAACGGAGGUAUCAGAUAAAACCACAUCACAGAGAUACAUUUUUCCUUGGAACAGAAGACUGUUUUCUUUGUAAUGUUAAUCCUAAUGUGGUUUUGAGAAGAAUAUUAAAUA
This is a long non-coding RNA of Balaenoptera musculus (blue whale), 2229 nucleotides long. RefSeq lists it as uncharacterized. The record is from RefSeq and is a predicted model, not a curated record. Lineage: Eukaryota; Metazoa; Chordata; Mammalia; Artiodactyla; Balaenopteridae. The transcript is spliced from 5 exons.